GUCCAAAUCACGUUGAAACUACCAGUUCUCGUCUGAUCACUGAAGUCAAGCAACGUUGAGCACGGAGACUCCAACAAUUAUAAACAAACUAAUCGUUAGCGAAUUUUAUAACUGUCAAUUGACGGCCAAGGUUCUAUCAAUCCCUAUUCAAGUUUCAGUGGCUAUCAAAUAAUAGCCAAUGUUUUAUCAGCCAGUACUGGGCUAAAUAUAAAAUUUUCUCUGAAUUUGAAGCAUGUAACAUGAACAGAUCUCACAAGUCACAAGAGUAAGAAAACCAUUCUUAAGAAAUGUAAUAAUCGGACAACGUCCAAAUCACGUUGAAACUACCAGUUCUCGUCUGAUCACUGAAGUCAAGCAACGUUGAGCACGGAGACGCCAACAAUUAUAAACAAACUAAUAUUGAGC
Molecule: long non-coding RNA, 405 nt
Organism: Atta colombica
Lineage: Eukaryota; Metazoa; Arthropoda; Insecta; Hymenoptera; Formicidae
Exons: 3
Source: RefSeq, a predicted model, not a curated record